CGCAUCUGUGCAUGCAGCAUAUCAAUAAGCGGAGGAAAAGAAACUAACAAGGAUUCCCCUAGUAACGGCGAGUGAAGCGGGAAGAGCUCAAAUUUGAAAUCUUAAAGGGUUUCCCUUUACGAAUUGUAGUUUAAAGAAGUGUUUUCUGUUGAGGUUUUGGUAAAAGUUCUUUGGAAUAGGACAUCAUAGAGGGUGAGAAUCCCGUAUUUGACCUUUACUUUCAACUUUGUGAUACACUUUCAAAGAGUCGGAUUGUUUGGGAAUGCAGUCCAAAAUGGGUGGUAAAUUUCAUCUAAAGCUAAAUAUUGGCGAGAGACCGAUAGCGAACAAGUACCGUGAGGGAAAGAUGAAAAGAACUUUGAAAAGAGAGUUAAACAGUACGUGAAAUUGUCAAAAGGGAAGCGUUUGACACCAGUGUUGUUUUUCUGAAAAUCAAUUAAAGAACUGUUUAUGCUAAGCUGUUUAGACUUUAUCAGCUAUCUGCUUAGUUUUGAGCUUUUCUUUAAUGCACCUUUCAGUUAACAAGUCAACAUCAAUUUCUUUUGCUGUAAAAAAGCUUGAGGAAGGUGGCUUGAGAUUCGUCUUAAGUGUUUAUAGCCUCUUGCCUAUGCAGUCGGAGAGAUUGAGGUCUGCAGCGUAGAUCCUUCGGGGCUAAAUGCAUUUGUGCUAAGUUAUAGCAUUUUAUAGACAACUUGUUGACUAUGAUUUGUCUUGUAGCUUACUCGCUUAUGUUAUUUUACCUACGCUUAGGAUGUUGAGUCAUCACACAUCUCU
Molecule: ribosomal RNA, 774 nt
Filed under: uncultured Neocallimastigales
Lineage: Eukaryota; Fungi; Neocallimastigomycota; Neocallimastigomycetes; Neocallimastigales
Description: partial large subunit ribosomal RNA
Rfam family: Eukaryotic large subunit ribosomal RNA
Source: RNAcentral